RNAcentral lists this ribosomal RNA (1945 nucleotides) under fermentation metagenome. RNAcentral's name for it is "bacterial LSU rRNA". It matches the Rfam family "Bacterial large subunit ribosomal RNA", at positions 3 to 1980 of the family's 2925-position model. The record is from RNAcentral.
UCAAGCAAAUAAGGGCGCACGGUGGAUGCCCUGGCACCAGAAGCCGAAGAAGGACGCGAUAAGCUGCGAUAAGCUGCGAGUAGCCGCAAAUAGGCUGUGAUUCGCAGAUUUCCGAAUGGGGAAACCUAAUGUGCAAACGCACAUUACUUUAAGCUGAAUAAAUAGGUUUAAAGGGGGAUACCUGGGGAACUGAAACAUCUAAGUACCCAGAGGAAGAGAAAGAAUAAUCGAUUUCCUAAGUAGCGGCGAGCGAACGGGAAAGAGCCCAAACCAAGCCCUUCGGGGAUUGGGGUUGAGGACAGACAGAAGUGUAAAGUAAAAUUUAAUUGAAGAGGUCUGGAAAGGCCCGCCAUAGAAUGUAACGGCCAUGUAAGUAAAAAGAAGAACUUUACCAGUCUGAUCCAGAGUACCACGAGACACGUGAAACCUUGUGGGAAGCAGGGAGGACCACCUCCCAAGGCUAAAUACUAACUGGUGACCGAUAGCGAAUAGUACCGUGAGGGAAAGGCGAAAAGAACCCCAGAAGGGGAGUGAAAUAGAACCUGAAACCGUGUGCUUACAAGCAGUCGGAGCUCGUUAAGGAGUGACGGCGUGCUUUUUGUAGAACGAGCCAGCGAGUUACGGUAUGCAGCGAGGUUAAGCACUUAAGGUGCGAAGCCGGAGGGAAACCGAGUCUGAAUAGGGCGCUAAGUUGUAUGCUGUAGACCCGAAACCGGGUGACCUAUCCAUGGACAGGAUGAAGUUGAGGUAAAACUCAAUGGAGGUCCGAACUAAAUUGGUGUUGAAAAACCAUGAGAUGAUCUGUGGAUAGCGGAGAAAUUCCAAUCGAACUCGGAGAUAGCUGGUUCUCCCCGAAAUAGCUUUAGGGCUAGCCUUGGAUGAUGAGCUUUGGAGGUAGAGCACUGAAUGGACUAGGGGCUGUAUAAGCUACCAAACCCUAUCAAACUCCGAAUGCCAAAGUUUUAAUCCAGGAGUCAGACUACGAGUGAUAAGAUCCGUGGUCAAAAGGGAAACAGCCCAGACCAUCAGCUAAGGUCCCAAAAUGCAGAUUAAGUGGUAAAGGAGGUGAGAUCUCAAAGACAACCAGGAUGUUGGCUUAGAAGCAGCCAUACAUUCAAAGAGUGCGUAAUAGCUCACUGGUCGAGAGGUCUUGCACCGAAGAUGUCCGGGGCUCAAAUCUGCUACCGAAGCUAUGGAUGUAUGAAAAUACGUGGUAGGGGAGCAUCGUAUACGGAGCGAAGCCAUAUCGUAAGGAGUGGUGGACUGUAUACGAGAGAGAAUGCUGGCAUAAGUAACGAAAGAUAGGUGAGAAUCCUAUCCAUCGAAAACCUAAGGUUUCCUGAGGAAGGUUCGUCCACUCAGGGUUAGUCGGGACCUAAGUCGAGGCCGAAAGGCGUAGAUGAUGGACAAUCGGUUGAAAUUCCGAUACCACCUUUAAGCGUUUAAGAAAAGGGGUGACGCAGGAGGAUAAGCUGAGCGCACGGAUGGAAAAGUGCGUCUAAGAACUAAGUCAGACCUUCAAGGAAAAUCCGGGAGGUGACGAUAAGGUUUAAUGGGGAGCCGUAAGGCGAAGCAGCUGAAUUCACACUGCCAAGAAAAGCCUCUAUCGAGCAAGAAGGUGCCCGUACCGCAAACCGACACAGGUAGGUGAGGAGAGAAUCCUAAGAUGAGCGAGAGAACCCUUGUUAAGGAACUCGGCAAAUUAACCCCGUAACUUCGGGAGAAGGGGUACUCAAAAGAGUCGCAGUUAAAAGGCCCAAGCAACUGUUUAGCAAAAACACAGGUCUCUGCUAAGUCGCAAGACGAUGUAUAGGGGCUGACGCCUGCCCGGUGCUGGAAGGUUAAGGGGAGAGGUUAGCGAAAGCGAAGCUUUAAACUUAAGCCCCAGUAAACGGCGGCCGUAACUAUAACGGUCCUAAGGUAGCGAAAUUCCUUGUCGGGUAAG